UGGAUCACAGGAUGUGAAGAGCUGGACUCUACCAAUGGAGGUGGGGAGGAACAUCUUUCUAAUGGAAAGACUGCCUCGCAGAUCCUGUUGAAUGUUGUGCUCUGAUUUUUGACAUAAUUGCUUGUAUCCAUUCCCCUUUCUGAUGCAUCAAUCUGUUGCAGCCAAUCUCCUGUUGCGCCUGUCGCCGGUGAAGAACAUCUGCAAAAUGAAGUCCAUAUUGAUCGAAAUUAUGUCCGACGGAGAUCCUCUGAUGCUUAAGUCAGUGAGGAGUGAUGAACAACAGAUGAAAAAUAUUUGAAAUGACAGAGUCUAAGUCUAGAAUUGUCUUAUUAAUGCUGUUCAUUUACCUUCCUUUUAUAGGUGAUUCA
This 368-nucleotide long non-coding RNA is filed under the name Elaeis guineensis (African oil palm). RNAcentral's name for it is "long non-coding RNA (EGUI_LNC012370)". The record is from RNAcentral. Lineage: Eukaryota; Viridiplantae; Streptophyta; Magnoliopsida; Arecales; Arecaceae.